RNAcentral lists this signal recognition particle RNA (94 nucleotides) under Rhodospirillaceae bacterium. RNAcentral describes it as "signal recognition particle sRNA small type". It matches the Rfam family "Bacterial small signal recognition particle RNA". Rfam says of the family: The signal recognition particle (SRP) is a universally conserved ribonucleoprotein involved in the co-translational targeting of proteins to membranes. Archaeal SRP consists of a 7S RNA and homologues of the eukaryotic SRP19 and SRP54 proteins. Lineage: Bacteria; Pseudomonadati; Pseudomonadota; Alphaproteobacteria; Rhodospirillales; Rhodospirillaceae. The record is from RNAcentral.
AGGCUGGCUUGUGGACUGAUCCCUCGCCAACCCGGUCAGAUCCGGAAGGAAGCAGCCGUAACGAGACCGAUUUGGGUCGCUUGUCCAGUCUUCC